GACGUUUGCUAUAAAGGCUAGUUGGGGUAUAAACAUUUUCUAAUAGCCACUUUGUCUAUUAUGAGUAGCAGACAUACAUUUUUAUUGAAAAUCACUGACAAGGGGUCCUCUUUCCUCUUUAUACCAGGUGUUUCUAUAUUGAUGAUAACUGACAGCAUUCUGAUGGUUGAUCAAAGCUUUCAAACUAUGCUUCAACAUAAUGCCUGAAUGAAAGAAACGGGUGGAAGAAACCUGAGCACUUCCUUCACAACGCAGUCAACAUAACGCAACUGCGUCAGCUUCUCCAAGCUCAAGGUGUUUCAGCAGCUGAAGAAUGAGGGACGUAGAUGCGCUGGCUGUUGUAGAGUGGGCAGCGAAAAUCAACUCCACUGCAGUCUCCUGGUAAUGGCAAAUAAUGGGUGAAUGGCGCUUAACAUGUAGUCAAAGGCGUCGCAGUACUCCUCCGAAUGCUGCUUCUGAAGCUUCUCCUCAAUAAUCUUCUCAAUGGAUGCAUGGAGUAUUUCCCUAGCUUUGAUACCCUAUGGAAGUA
This is a long non-coding RNA of Alosa sapidissima (American shad), 529 nucleotides long. RefSeq lists it as uncharacterized. The record is from RefSeq and is a predicted model, not a curated record. The transcript has 4 exons. Lineage: Eukaryota; Metazoa; Chordata; Actinopteri; Clupeiformes; Clupeidae.